GAUGAACGCUGGCGGCGUGCCUAAUACAUGCAAGUCGAGCGAAUGGAUUAAGAGCUUGCUCUUAUGAAGUUAGCGGCGGACGGGUGAGUAACACGUGGGUAACCUGCCCAUAAGACUGGGAUAACUCCGGGAAACCGGGGCUAUACCGGAUAACAUUUUGAACCGCAUGGUUCGAAAUUGAAAGGCGGCUUCGGCUGUCACUUAGGGAUGGACCCGCGUCGCAUUAGCUAGUUGGUGAGGUAACGGCUCACCAAGGCAACGGUGCGUAGCCGACCUGAGAGGGUGAUCGGCCACACUGGGACUGAGACACGGCCCAGACUCCUACGGGAGGCAGCAGUAGGGAAUCUUCCGCAAUGGACGAAAGUCUGACGGAGCAACGCCGCGUGAGUGAUGAAGGCUUUCGGGUCGUAAAACUCUGUUGUUAGGGAAGAACAAGUGCUAGUUGAAUAAGCUGGCACCUUGACGGUACCUAACCAGAAAGCCACGGCUAACUACGUGCCAGCCGCCGCUGUAA
This 514-nucleotide ribosomal RNA is filed under the name uncultured bacterium. RNAcentral's name for it is "partial 16S ribosomal RNA". It matches the Rfam family "Bacterial small subunit ribosomal RNA", at positions 28 to 523 of the family's 1533-position model. The record is from RNAcentral.